RNAcentral lists this ribosomal RNA (429 nucleotides) under Pseudomonadota bacterium. RNAcentral's name for it is "Proteobacteria bacterium partial 16S ribosomal RNA". It matches the Rfam family "Bacterial small subunit ribosomal RNA", at positions 355 to 776 of the family's 1533-position model. The record is from RNAcentral. Lineage: Bacteria; Pseudomonadati; Pseudomonadota.
UGGGGAAUAUUGGACAAUGGGCGAAAGCCUGAUCCAGCCAUGCCGCGUGUGUGAAGAAGGUCUUCGGAUUGUAAAGCACUUUAAGUUGGGAGGAAGGGCAGUAAGCGAAUACCUUGCUGUUUUGACGUUACCGACAGAAUAAGCACCGGCUAACUCUGUGCCAGCAGCCGCGGUAAUACAGAGGGUGCAAGCGUUAAUCGGAAUUACUGGGCGUAAAGCGCGCGUAGGUGGUUCGUUAAGUUGAAUGUGAAAGCCCCGGGCUCAACCUGGGAACUGCAUCCAAAACUGGCGAGCUAGAGUAGGGCAGAGGGUGGUGGAAUUUCCUGUGUAGCGGAGAAAUGCGUAGAUAUAGGAAGGAACACCAGUGGCGAAGGCAGCCAUCUGGCCUAAUACUGACGCUGAGGUACGAAAGCAUGGGGAGCAAACAGG